This 75-nucleotide transfer RNA is filed under the name Helicobacter winghamensis ATCC BAA-430. RNAcentral's name for it is "tRNA-Ala". It matches the Rfam family "tRNA". Rfam says of the family: Transfer RNA (tRNA) molecules are approximately 80 nucleotides in length. Their secondary structure includes four short double-helical elements and three loops (D, anti-codon, and T loops). The record is from RNAcentral. Lineage: Bacteria; Pseudomonadati; Campylobacterota; Epsilonproteobacteria; Campylobacterales; Helicobacteraceae.
GGGGAAUUAGCUCAGCUGGGAGAGCGCCUGCUUUGCACGCAGGAGGUCAGCGGUUCGAUCCGCUAUUCUCCACCA